GGGUUUGAGAUGUCAGCUUCCUCUACACGUCUAGGUAGAGUUCUCAGUAUCUUUGAUGCUUCUGAAUGAAUGCAUUUAAUGAGGUGAUUUUCCAGUGCCAGCACCACCAUUUAUGUAGUAGAAAAACUGCUCUGGUUGUAGUCCACAGACUCGUUUUAUGCACCAGUCUCUCACUGCAUAGAACACACAUGCCUGCUUCUGGUUCAGACUCUGAUACAUUUGUCGUAACCGUGUGGGAUUGAUUGUAGGGGGCUCUCUCAUGACUCUGGCCUCUGUAGCAGCAUUAGCUUGUCUGCUGUAUUCCGGUACAUCCUGUUGGACAUUUUCACACUGUCAGGCAUCCAGUUCAUCGAUACACUCCAACUUCACCAGUUCAGAUUCAGGUGCCAAAUUACACCAUUCAUCGACCACACCUCUGUUCUGUUCAAAGUCCUCGAGAGCAGAGUCAAUUUCCUCACCGUUUUUUUCAUAUCUCUCUCUGUUUCUUUUCACAAUGAGUUUCACACGCAGGGGUUGGUCAGAAUACGGCAGCUGAACCACACCUCUCUUAUAGAAUGACUCAUACGUGGGAAGAUAUGGUCUUUUCAGCUCAUCGUCUGAUCUGUAUGGAAGAUACAGUAUAUGCAAUGUGCCGUAAAACUGCUCAGGGUAUUUCUCUUUCGAUAUGCGGCGAUACCUGAUGACAGCAGCGUUGUCACUUUCUCGUCUCUGUAUAAAGCCUAGUUCAUUCAGCAAGGGUACACUUUCUUGCCCUUGGUCUGUUGUCCAUACACCAGUCUGCAGGUAGAUGUAAAAUCAGCCAUGUACAUCUCUUCAAACUCUGGUGUUUCAGGUCUGGAUUUGUAUUUGUCUGUUAAGGAUGUCAUCCACACAUUCAAGCUGUCUGGUGUAGUGUUGUCAAGGCUUGACACAGGCAGACUCAUUUUCACUGGGUUGUCAUCAGUUGGGACAAAAACCACACUGCGUGUACUCUUUUUCAUGUUCAGUGAAGUCACUCAGGCAACAGCUUCUUGUGCUGAUACUUCUCGCUUUUUGGAAUACGCCUGCAUGACCACUUUCAUUUCAUCACAUUCAUUGACUCAGACAAAACUGAAGUUCUGGUCCUCGGUCCUAAACACCUUAGAGAGGCAUUCUCUAGUAAUUUAGCUACAUUUGAUGGUAUCAGCCUGGCAUCCAGCCCCACUGUGCGAAAUCUAGGAGUUGUAUUUGAUCAGGAUUUAUCUUUUAGCUCCCACAUUCAAAAAAAUUUCCAGGACAGCCUUUUUCCACCUGCGCAAUAUCUCAAAAAUUAGACGCAUAUUGUCUCAGAGCGAUGCAGAAAAACUAGUCCAUGCCUUUGUAACCUCUAGGCUGGAUUACUGUAAUUCUCUCCUGUCAGGCUGCUCUAGUAAGUCAUUAAGGACUCUUCAGCUGGUCCAAAAUGCAGCAGCUCGGGUAUUGACUAGAACUAGAAGAAGGGAGCACAUCUCUCCUGUUUUAGCCUCUCUUCACUGGCUCCCUAUUAAAUAUAGAAUUGAGUUUAAAAUCCUCCUUGUGACAUAUAAAGCGCUUAAUGGCCAGGCUCCAUCAUAUUUCGACGAGCUAGUUAUACCGUACUUUCCAUCUAGACCGUUACGCUCACAGUCUGCAGGUUUGCUCGUUGUACCAAAUGUCUCUAAAAGUAGUAUUGGAGGAAGAGCUUUCAGCUACCAGGCACCUCUUCUCUGGAAUCAUUUACCGCUCGAGGUUCGGGGGGCAGACACACUCUCAACUUUCAAGAGUAGACUUAAAAUGUUCCUCUUUGAUAAAGCCUAUAGUCAGGGCUGAUUUGAACCAGCUCUUAGUUAUGCUCCUAUAGGCCUAGACUGCCGGGGCUAUCUGGCACACUGAGCUAGAGUCUGUCUCUAUCUCCUAUCUUUAUGUCCCAUAUAAGUCACUGACCAGUUUUCUGUCUCUCUGAGUGUGUCUCUGAGUCUUUUAGCUGCCGCUGGACUAAUGCUGCAAACGGUCUGCUGUGGAACUGCCUGACCCCAGCUGCAUCCACCCCGGCUCUUUGGCUCUUUGGCUCCUCUGGACCGUUGCUGCAGACCAUUAAUAAUACAAAAUAGAACUGACUACGAUUAAGCCUGCUAACUGUAAUCACACUCAAUUAAUUCAACAUUGUCCAUUAGCACUCAUAUCCUAACCCUGUAAACUGAACUCAUUUUGUUUCACCAUUACAUGAGCUGUUGUUGUUGCUGUUGUUCCUGCUGCCUCCUGUCUCUCUCUCACCCUCGUUCCUUACUCUCUCUCCCUCCCCCUCCCUCUCCGUACUCAUUCUCUCUCGCCUUUCCCCUAUCUUGUUGUCUCUCUCCCUCCCCCUGUCCUCUCCCCCUCUCCCCUCUUCUCUCUACAUUCCUCCCCAACCCAGCAGCGGCAUGGUGGCUGUCUAGCAUGAGGCUGGUCCUGCCCAAGGUUUCUGCCUGUUAAAAGGAAGUUUUUCCUUGCCACUGUAACUCAUGUUAGUUGAGAUGGGCCAAAACCCAUCUUAGGUUGGUUCUUGAUCAUCAAACAAUGAGCAUGGUCCAGACCUGCUCUUGUUCCUUGAAAAGCGUCUUGAGAUGACGACUGUUGUGAAUUGGCGCUAUAUAAAUAAAAUUUGAUUGAUUUGAUUGAUUGAUUGACACAUUCUCUCUCAGAGUUCUGAAUGAGUGUUUGCAGAUACUGGCUCACAGAGUUCUCACUUUUACACAUGUACGUACAUAUGUAAUGGAUUAGACUGUAGUAGCUGAGAAUGAACUGCACAUCAAUGUUUGCAUCCCAGGCCUUGAGCAGGUGAGGGUUGUAGGUGUUUACCCAGCAGUCUUUUGGCUCACGCUUCCGAAGGAUGUUGCUUGACCGACUCAUCAAAUGCAUGUGUUUCUCGUACUCAUCAGCGGUUAAGUCACAGACAGACAGGAGCUGUUGAAAACUCAGGGAUUCAGUUUGUGUCUCAUUCAGCAGCUGAUUCAGUGGUGCAAGUUUCUCUUUGGCUCUCUUAAGUCUCUCUGACUCCUCAUCAUCAUCCACAGGUCUUGUUAUCAUUGUCCGUCUGGAGGGUGGUUUUGGGAAUCCAAAACGGCAUCCUGAACUUGCACUUUUGAAACAUGUCUUUGAGUGCUUCUUACUGUGUAUUUGCACUUCUUUGACCUUUUUGUACAGUUCAGGCUGUUUAUUUGGGUCAGGGAGCUGAGCAGAGAUGUGUUUGGACACAAAGUCACACACAGUUUUGUCAGAGUCUCUCUCAAACACAGGUGCACCUUCUACCCACAAAAGACCAUGUAUAUGAGGACUUCCUCUGUGCUGAAACUCGAGACGCCAAAAGAAGUCAUAAACUUUGCCCAGGGGUUGUGCAGGAGACAUGAUCAGAUCUCUGUACAGUGCUUCAACACACUUAUCAAACAUGCGCAGGAUUGCUUCUCAGAAUGUCACACUUUGAAUGUCACCUCCUCACCUUGUUGUGAUUUUAUUGCAAUAAUCACCUCAGGCCAAAGCAUUUCUGCUGCAGAAAAUGUGACAAAGAAAGUAGGACUGCCCAACUGCCUGAUCAUAGCAAACAGAUCUUUUGUAGUUUUGUCCUAGUAGGCUGGUGUUCCCUUGAGUGGCUGCAUAAAUCUGAUAGCAUCUCUGUUUCUCACCAGUCUCUCCACUUCAUAUUUGUCUCUCAAAAUUCUGAAUGUUUUUUUACGUCCGUCUCUGGUCAAAGGUUUGCCUUUGUGUAACUGUAUGGACAUGCUGGAGGUAGCCAAGUGUAUCUCUGUCACAAACUGUGCAAAGAACAGGUAGUUGGUAUCUCUGGUAAAGCGAUCAUCAACACCAAAGAGCCUUGCUUUAAAAUAACUACUGGGUGAUAAUUUCAUGGGUCUGUUUUCAUCCAGUGUAUUCUCGCGAGUCACUGAAACACAAUAUUUCCUCAAAAACAUCACGUGGCUGAAGGCAGGACUCCAAAACAACACCACCAUUAGAUAUGUCUGCAUCCUGUUGUUGUGUCUGAUCAUCAUUGUCCUGGGUCUGACUUUUAUCACACAGCUCUGUGUGUUUUUUUUGGUAUAAUUAACUCUAAAAGAUCUGAAACAUGUUCCUAAAAAGGUCUUAGACAGUGAUUUUAACCCUAACCCCAAAAACCUUAAACCUUACCCUAGCCCCGUAAACCAAUACCUGGGUAUUACCUAAAGUAAGCCUUAACACCCCAAACAUUUUUUUUUCAUUUUUUUUUUGGUCUAACUAACUCCAAAAGAUCUGAAACAUGUUCCUAAAAAGGUUUUGGACAGUGAUUUUAAGCCUGAACAUUUUUUUUUCAUUUUUUGUUUUUUUUGGGUCUAAUGAAUUGCAAAAGGUUUGAAACAUGUUCCCCAAAGGUUGUUGGACAGUGAUUUUAACCCUAAAUACAUAUCCCUAACCUCAGCCCUGUUACCCAAUAUCCAGGUGUUACUUAAAGGAAGCCCUAACAUUAAAAAAAAUGACAUUUUUCUUUUUUUUUCUAAUGAACUCCAAAAGGUUUGCAACAUGUUCCUGAAUAGUUCUUGGACAGUUUGUUUUAACCCUAAUACCAAAACCCGAAACCCAACACCUAAAAAUACCUAAAAAAAUAGCCCUUACAACCCCAAUUUUUUUUUUUUGACAUUUUUCGUUUUUCUUUUUGGUAUAAUUAACUCCAAAAGGUCUGAAACAUGUUCUUAAAAAGGUCUUGGACAAUGAUUUUAACCCUAACCCCAAAAACCUUAAAAGGGUAUUGGACAGUGAUAUUAAUCCAGUGUUGUUUUCGUCAACCAUGACGUUGACGAAAAUAUUUUUGUCAACGUCAUCGUCAAAGAAAACAAAACUCCACGUAUGUGCGCGCGUGUGUGUGUGUCUGUGUGUUGGAGGAACACAGCAGGCUGAUGAGAGCUGUCAGAGCGGAUUUUUUGGUCUAAUGAACUCAAAAGGUCUGAAACAUGAUCCUCAAAGGUUUUUGGACAGUGAUAUGAACCCUUAUCCAGAAACCCUAACCCUCACCCUAGCCCCUUAACCAAAUUCCUGGGUAUUACCAUUAAAAAGGCCCUAACAACGCCCAAAAUAUUUUUUUUGACAUUUUUCUUUUUUUUUCUCGGUAUAAUUCACUCCAAAAGAUCUGAAACAUGUUCCUAAAAAGGUCUUGGACAGUGAUUUUAAGCCUAACCCAAAAAACCUUAAACCUUACCCUAGCCCUGUAACCCAAUACUAACCAAAUACUUCCUUUAGUAUUACCUAAAGGAAGCCCUAACACCCCAAACAAUUAUUUUUUAAUUUUUUUUUUUUUUUGUUGUUGGUCUAAUUCACUCCAAAAGGUUUAAAACAUGUUCCUCAAAGGUUUUGGACAGUGAUAUUAAUCCUGACCCCAAAAACCUUAAACCUUACCCAAGUCCUGAAACCCAAUACCCAGGUAUUAUCUAAAGGAAGCCCUAACACCCAAACAUUUUGUUCUUAUUUUUCAAUUUAUUUUGGUCUAAUUCACUCCAAAAAGGUUGAAACAGGUCUUGGUCUAAAAAGGUCUUGGACAGUGAUUUUAAGCCUAACCCCCAAAACCCUAAACCUUACCCUAGCCCCAUAAUCCAAUGCCUGGGUCUUACCUUAAGGAAGCCCUAACACCCCAAACAUUUUUUUUCAUUUUUGCUUUGUUUAUGAUCUAAUUAACAUUUUUCAGUUUUUUUGGUCUAACUCGAAAACUCUGAAAAAUGCUCCUGAAAGGAUCCUUAACAGUGAUUUUACCCUAAUCCGAACCCUAGCCCCGUAACCCAAUACCCAGUUCUUACUUUAAAAAAGCCCUAACAACCCCCAAAUUUUUUUUUUACAUUUUGCAUUUUUCUUGGUAUAAUUACCUCCAAAAGGUCUGAAACAUGUUCAUAAAAAGGUCUUGGACAAUGAUUUAAACCCUUACCCCAAAAACCUUAAACCUUACCCUAGCCCCGUAACCCAAUACCCGAGUAUUACCUAAAGGAAGCCCUAAUACCCCAAACAUUUUUUUUUUCAUUUUUCCUUUGUUUAUGGUCUAACUAACUCCAAAAGGUCUGAAACAUGUUCCUAUAAAGAUCUUGCACAGUGAUUUAACCCUAAUCCCAAAACCCUAAACCGAACCGUAGCCCCGUUACCCAAUACCCAGGUCUUACCCAAAAGCCCUAAAAACCCCAAAUUCUUUUUUUGACAUUUUUCUUUUUUUUUGGUCUAAUUAACUCCAAAACGUCUGAAACGUUCCGAAAAAGGUCUUGGACAGUGAUUUUAAGCCUAACCCCCAAAACCCUAAACCUUACCCUAGCCCCAUAAUCCAAUGCCUGGGUCUUACCUUAAGGAAGCCCUAACACCCCAAACAUUUUUUUUUCAUUUUUGCUUUGUUUAUGAUCUAAUUAACAUUUUUCAGUUUUUUUGGUCUAACUCGAAAACUCUGAAAAAUGCUCCUAAAGGAUCCUUAACAGUGAUUUUACCCUAAUCCGAACCCUAGCUCCGUAACCCAAUACCCAGUUCUUACUUUUAAAAAGCCCUAACAACCCCCAAAUUUUUUUUUUACAUUUUUCAUUUUUCUUGGUAUAAUUACCUCCGAACGGUCUGAAACAUGUUCCUAAAAAGGUUGGACAGUGAUAUUAACCCUAAUCCCAAAACCCUACACCCAACCCUAGCUCCGUAACCCAAUAACCGGGUAUUAUCUAAAGAAAGCCCUAACCAACCCCAAAAACUUUUUUUUUGACAUUUUUCUUUUUUUUUUGUCUAAUUAACUCCAAAAGGUCUGAAACAUGUUCCUAAAAAGGUCUUGGACAGUGAUUUUAACCCUAACCCCAAAAACCUUAAACCUUACCCUAGCCCCGUAACCCAAUACCCAGGUAUUACCUAAAGGUAGCCCUAACACCCCAAACAUUUUUUUUUCAUUUCACGUUUUUUUUUUUGGUCUAACUAACUCCAAAAGGUCUGAAACAUGUUCCUAAAAAGGUCUUGGACAGUGAUUUUACCCUAAUCCGAACCCUAGCCCCGUAACCCAAUACCCAGUUCUUACUUUAAAAAAGCCCUAACAACCCCCAAAUUUUUUUUUUACAUUUUUUUUUUUUGGUUGGUCUAAUUACCUCCAAAAGGUCUGAAACAUGUUCAUAAAAAGGUCUUGGACAGUGAUUUUAACCCUAACCCCAAAAACCUUAAACCUUACCCUAGCCCCGUAACCCAAUACCCAGGUAUUACCUGAAGGAAGCCCUAACACCCCAAACAUUUUUUUUUUAUUUUUCAUUUUUUGUUUUCUAACUAACUCCAAAAGGUCUGAAACAUGUUCCUAAAAAGGUCUUGGGAAAUGAUUUAUACCCUAAUCCCAACCCUGGCCCUGUAACCCAAUACCCCGGUCUUACCUAAAGAAAGCCCUAACAAUACCAAAAAAGUUUUGACAUUUUUCUUGUUUUUUUGGUCUAACUAACUCCAAAAGGUCUGAAACACGUUCUGAAAAAGGUCUUGGAAAGUGAUUUUAACCCUAACCCCAAAAAGCUUAAACCUUACCCUAGCCCCGUAACCCAAUACUUCCUUUAGUAUUACCUAAAGGAAGCCCUAACAACCCAAAACAUUCUUUUUUUUCAAUUUUUGUUUUUUUUUUGGUCUAACUAACUCCAAAUUUCUGAAUCUUGUCCCUAAAAUGGUCUUGGACAGUGAUUUUAACCCUAAACCCAAAAACCUUACCCUAGACCCGUGACCCAAUACCCAGGUAUUACCUAAAGGAAGCCCUAACACCCCAAACAUUUUUUUUUCAUUUUUCAUUUUUUUUGGUCUAACUAACUCCAAAAGGUCUGAAACAUGUUCCUAAAAAGGUGUUGGACAGUGAUUUAACCCUAAUCCCAAAACCCUAAACUUUACCCUAGUCCCAUAACCCAAUACCCAGGUAUUAGCUAAAGGAAACCCUCACACCCCAAACAUUUCUUUUUAUUUUUCAUUUUUUGUUUUCUAACUAACUCCAAAAGGUCUGAAACAUGUUCCUAAAAAGGUUGGACAGUGAUAUUCACCCUAAUCCCAAAACCCUACACCCAACCCUGGCCCUGUAACCCACUACCCAGGUCUUACCUAAAGAAAGCCCUAACAACCCCAAAUUCUUUUUUUGACAUUUUUCUUUUUUUUUGGUCUAAUUAACUCCAAAACAUCUGAAACGUUCCGAAAAAGGUCUUGGACAGUGAUUUUAAGCCUAACCCCAAAAACCCUAAACCUUACCCUAGCCCCAUAAUCCAAUGCCUGGGUCUUACCUUAAGGAAGCCCUAACACCCCAAACAUUUUUUUUUCAUUUUUGCUUUGUUUAUGAUCUAAUUAACAUUUUUCAGUUUUUUUGGUCUAACUCGAAAACUCUGAAAAAUGCUCCUAAAAGGAUCCUUAACAGUGAUUUUACCCUAAUCCGAACCCUAGCCCCGUAACCCAAUACCCAGUUCUUACUUUAAAAAAUCCCUUACAACCCCCAAAUUUUUUUUUUACAUUUUGCAUUUUUUUUGGUAUAAUUACCUCCGAACGGUCUGAAACAUGUUCCUAAAAAGGUCUUGGACAGUGAUUUUAAGCUUAACCCCAAAAACCUUAAACCUUACCCUAGCCCCGUAACCCAAUACCCAGGUAUUACCUGAAGGAAGCCCUAACACCCCAAACAUUUUUUUUUUAUUUUUCAUUUUUUGUUUUCUAACUAACUCCAAAAGGUCUGAAACAUGUUCCUAAAAAGGUCUUGGGAAAUGAUUUAUACCCUAAUCCCAACCCUGGCCCUGUAACCCACUACCCAGGUCUUACCUAAAGAAAGCCCUAACAAUACCAAAAAAGUUUUGACAUUUUUCUUGUUUUUUUGGUCUAACUAACUCCAAAAGGUCUGAAACACGUUCUGAAAAAGGUCUUGGAAAGUGAUUUUAACCCUAACCCCAAAAAGCUUAAACCUUACCCUAGCCCCGUAACCCAAUACUUCCUUUAGUAUUACCUAAAGGAAGCCCUAACAACCCAAAACAUUUUUUUUUUCAAUUUUUGUUUUUUUUUUGGUCUAACUAACUCCAAAUUUCUGAAUCUUGUCCCUAAAAUGGUCUUGGACAGUGAUUUUAACCCUAAACCCAAAAACCUUUAAUCUUACCCUAGACCCGUGACCCAAUACCCAGGUAUUACCUAAAGGAAGCCCUAACACCCCAAACAUUUUUUUUUCAUUUUUCAUUUUUUUUGGUCUAACUAACUCCAAAAGGUCUGAAACAUGUUCCUAAAAAGGUGUUUGACAGUGAUUUAACCUUAAUCCUAAAACCCUAAACUGAACCCUAGUCCCAUAACCCAAUACCCAGGUAUUACCUGAAGGAAACCCUAACACCCCAAACAAUUUUUUUUAUUUUUCAUUUUUUGUGUUCUAACUAACUCCAAAAGGUCUGAAACAUGUUCCUAAAAAGGUGUUGGACAGUGAUUUAACCCUAAUCCCAAAACCCUAAACCGAACCGUAGCCCCGUUACCCAAUACCCAGUUCUUACUAAAAAGCCCUAACAACCCCAAACAUUUUUUUUGACAUUUUUCUUUUUUUUUGCUCUAAUUAACUCAAAAACGUCUGAAACAUGUUCCUAAAAAGGUCUUGGACAGUGAUUUUAAGCUUAACCCCAAAAACCUUAAACCUUGCCCUAGCCCCGUAACCCAAUACUUCCGUUAGUAUUACCUAAAGGAAGCCCUAACAACCCAAAACAUUUUUUUCUAAUUUUUAAUUUUUUUGGUCUAACUAACUCAAAAAGGUCUGAAUCACGUUCCUAAAAAGGUCUUGGAAAGUAAUUUUAACCCUAACACCAAAAAGCUUAAACCUUAGCCUAGCCCCGUAACCCAAUACUUCCUUUAGUAUUACCUAAAGGAAGCCCUAACAACCCUAAACAUUUUUUUUUUCAAUUUUUGUUUUUUUUUGGUCUAACUCCAAAUUUCUGAAUCUUGUCCCUAAAAUGGUCUUGGACAGUGAUUUUAACCCUAAACCCAAAAACCUUAAAUCUUACCCUAGACCCGUGACCCGUGACCCAGGUAUUACCUAAAGGAAGCCCUAACACCCAAAACAUUUUUUUUUCAUUUUUCAUUUUUUUUGGUCUAACUAACUCCAAAAGGUCUGAAACAUGUUCCUAAAAAGGUGUUGGACAGUGAUUUAACCCUAAUCCUAAAACCCUAAACCGAACCCUAGUCCCAUAACCCAAUACCCAGGUAUUACCUAAAGGAAACCCUAACACCCCAAACAAUUUUAUUUUAUUUUUCAUUUUUUGUUUUCUAACUAACUCCAAAAGGUCUGAAACAUGUUCCUAAAAAGGUGUUGGACAGUGAUUUAACCCUAAUCCCAAAACCCUAAACCGAACCGUAGCCCCGUUACGCAAUACCCGGUUCUUACUCAAAAGCCCUAACAACCCCAAACAUUUUUUUUGACAUUUCUCAUUCUUUUUGCUCUAAUUAACUCAAAAACGUCUGAAACAUGUUCCUAAAAAGGUCUUGGACAGUGAUUUUAAGCUUAACCCCAAAAACCUUAAACCUUGCCCUAGCCCCGUAACCCAAUACUUCCGUUAGUAUUACCUAAAGGAAGCCCUAACAACCCAAAACAUUUUUUUCUCAUUUUUCAUUGUUUUGGUCUAACUAACUCAAAAUGGUCUGAAUCACGUUCCUAAAAAGGUCUUGGAAAGUAAUUUUAACCCUAACACCAAAAAGCUUAAACCUUAGCCUAGCCCCGUAACCCAAUACUUCCUUUAGUAUUACCUAAAGGAAGCCCUAUCAACCCAAAACAUUUUUUUUUUCAAUUUUUGUUUUUUUUUUGGUCUAACUAACUCCAAAUUUCUGAAUCUUGCCCCUAAAAUGGUCUUGGACAGUGAUUUUAACCCUAAACCCAAAAACCUUAAAUCGUACCCUAGACCCGUGACCCAAUACCCAGGUAUUACCUAAAGGAAGCCCUAACACCCCAAACAUUUUUUUUCAUUUUUCAUUUUUUUUGGUCUAACUAACUCCAAAAGGUCUGAAACAUGUUCCUAAAAAGGUGUUGGACAGUGAUUAAACCCUAAUCCUAAAACCCUAAACCGAACCCUAGUCACAUAACCCAAUACCCAGGUAUUACCUAAGGGAAACCCUAACACCCCAAACAUUUUUUUUAAUUUUUAAUUUUUUUCUUUCUAGCUAACUCCAAAAGGUCUGAAACAUCUUCCUAAAAAGGUGUUGGACAGUGAUUUAACCCUAAUCCCAAAACCCUAAACCGAACCGUAGCCCCGUUACCCAAUACCCGGUUCUUACUCAAAAGCCCUAACAACCCCAGACAUUUUUUUUGACAUUUUUCAUUCUUUUUGCUCUAAUUAACUCAAAAACGUCUGAAACAUGUUCCUAAAAAGGUCUUGGACAGUGAUUUUAAGCUUAACCCCAAAAACCUUAAACCUUGCCCUAGCCCCGUAACCCAAUACUUCCGUUAGUAUUACCUAAAGGAAGCCCUAACAACCCAAAACAUUUUUUUCUCAUUUUUCAUUGUUUUGGUCUAACUAACUCAAAAUGGUCUGAAUCACGUUCCUAAAAAGGUCUUGGAAAGUAAUUUUAACCCUAACACCAAAAAGCUUAAACCUUAGCCUAGCCCCGUAACCCAAUACUUCCUUUAGUAUUACCUAAAGGAAGCCCUAUCAACCCAAAACAUUUUUUUUUUCAAUUUUUGUUUUUUUUUUGGUCUAACUAACUCCAAAUUUCUGAAUCUUGCCCCUAAAAUGGUCUUGGACAGUGAUUUUAACCCUAAACCCAAAAACCUUAAAUCGUACCCUAGACCCGUGACCCAAUACCCAGGUAUUACCUAAAGGAAGCCCUAACACCCCAAACAUUUUUUUUCAUUUUUCAUUUUUUUUGGUCUAACUAACUCCAAAAGGUCUGAAACAUGUUCCUAAAAAGGUGUUGGACAGUGAUUAAACCCUAAUCCUAAAACCCUAAACCGAACCCUAGUCACAUAACCCAAUACCCAGGUAUUACCUAAGGGAAACCCUAACACCCCAAACAUUUUUUUUAAUUUUUAAUUUUUUUCUUUCUAGCUAACUCCAAAAGGUCUGAAACAUCUUCCUAAAAAGGUGUUGGACAGUGAUUUAACCCUAAUCCCAAAACCCUAAACCGAACCGUAGCCCCGUUACCCAAUACCCGGUUCUUACUCAAAAGCCCUAACAACCCCAAACAUUUUUUUUGACAUUUCUCAUUCUUUUUGGUCUAAUUAACUCAAAAACGUCUGAAACAUGUUCCUAAAAAGGUCUUGGACAGUGAUUUUAAGCUUAACCCCAAAAACCUUAAACCUUGCCCUAGCCCCGUAACCCAAUACUUCCGUUAGUAUUACCUAAAGGAAGCCCUAACAACCCAAAACAUUUUUUUCUCAUUUUUCAUUGUUUUGGUCUAACUAACUCAAAAUGGUCUGAAUCACGUUCCUAAAAAGGUCUUGGAAAGUAAUUUUAACCCUAACACCAAAAAGCUUAAACCUUAGCCUAGCCCCGUAACCCAAUACUUCCUUUAGUAUUACCUAAAGGAAGCCCUAUCAACCCAAAACAUUUUUUUUUUCAAUUUUUGUUUUUUUUUUGGUCUAACUAACUCCAAAUUUCUGAAUCUUGCCCCUAAAAUGGUCUUGGACAGUGAUUUUAACCCUAAACCCAAAAACCUUAAAUCGUACCCUAGACCCGUGACCCAAUACCCAGGUAUUACCUAAAGGAAGCCCUAACACCCCAAACAUUUUUUUUCAUUUUUCAUUUUUUUUGGUCUAACUAACUCCAAAAGGUCUGAAACAUGUUCCUAAAAAGGUGUUGGACAGUGAUUAAACCCUAAUCCUAAAACCCUAAACCGAACCCUAGUCACAUAACCCAAUACCCAGGUAUUACCUAAGGGAAACCCUAACACCCCAAACAUUUUUUUUAAUUUUUAAUUUUUUUCUUUCUAGCUAACUCCAAAAGGUCUGAAACAUCUUCCUAAAAAGGUGUUGGACAGUGAUUUAACCCUAAUCCCAAAACCCUAAACCGAACCGUAGCCCCGUUACCCAAUACCCGGUUCUUACUCAAAAGCCCUAACAACCCCAGACAUUUUUUUUGACAUUUUUCAUUUUUUUUGCUCUAAUUAACUGAAAAACGUCUGAAACAUGUUCCUAAAAAGGUCUUGGACAGUGAUUUUAGGCUUAACCCCAAAAACCUUAAACCUUACCCUAGCCCCUUAACCCAAUACUUCCGUUAGUAUUACCUAAAGGAAGCCCUAACAACCCAAAACAUUUUUUUCUCAUUUUUCAUUUUUUUGGUCUAACUAACUCAAAAAGGUCUGAAACAUGUUCCUAAAAAGGUCUUGGAAAGUAAUUUUAACCCUAACCCCAAAAAGCUUAAACCUUAGCCUAGCCCCGUAACCCAAUACUUCCUUUAGUAUUACCUAAAGGAAGCCCUAACAACCCUAAACAUUUUUUUUUUCAAUUUUUUGUUUUUUUUUGGUCUAACUCCAAAUUUCUGAAUCUUGUCCCUAAAAUGGUCUUGGACAGUGAUUUUAACCCUAAACCCAAAAACCUUUAAUCUUACCCUAGACCCGUGACCCAAUACCCAGGUAUUACCUAAAGGAAGCCCUAACACCCCAAACAUUUUUUUUUCAUUUUUCAUUUUUUUUGGUCUAACUAACUCCAAAAGGUCUGAAACAUGUUCCUAAAAAGGUGUUUGACAGUGAUUUAACCUUAAUCCUAAAACCCUAAACUGAACCCUAGUCCCAUAACCCAAUACCCAGGUAUUACCUGAAGGAAACCCUAACACCCCAAACAAUUUUUUUUAUUUUUCAUUUUUUGUGUUCUAACUAACUCCAAAAGGUCUGAAACAUGUUCCUAAAAAGGUGUUGGACAGUGAUUUAACCCUAAUCCCAAAACCCUAAACCGAACCGUAGCCCCGUUACCCAAUACCCAGUUCUUACUAAAAAGCCCUAACAACCCCAAACAUUUUUUUUGACAUUUUUCUUUUUUUUGGUCUAAUUAACUCAAAAACGUCUGAAACAUGUUCCUAAAAAGGUCUUGGACAGUGAUUUUAAGCUUAACCCCAAAAACCUUAAACCUUGCCCUAGCCCCGUAACCCAAUACUUCCGUUAGUAUUACCUAAAGGAAGCCCUAACAACCCAAAACAUUUUUUUCUAAUUUUUAAUUUUUUUGGUCUAACUAACUCAAAAAGGUCUGAAUCACGUUCCUAAAAAGGUCUUGGAAAGUAAUUUUAACCCUAACACCAAAAAGCUUAAACCUUAGCCUAGCCCCGUAACCCAAUACUUCCUUUAGUAUUACCUAAAGGAAGCCCUAACAACCCUAAACAUUUUUUUUUUCAAUUUUUGUUUUUUUUUUGGUCUAACUCCAAAUUUCUGAAUCUUGUCCCUAAAAUGGUCUUGGACAGUGAUUUUAACCCUAAACCCAAAAACCUUAAAUCUUACCCUAGACCCGUGACCCGUGACCCAGGUAUUACCUAAAGGAAGCCCUAACACCCAAAACAUUUUUUUUUCAUUUUUCAUUUUUUUUGGUCUAACUAACUCCAAAAGGUCUGAAACAUGUUCCUAAAAAGGUGUUGGACAGUGAUUUAACCCUAAUCCUAAAACCCUAAACCGAACCCUAGUCCCAUAACCCAAUACCCAGGUAUUACCUAAAGGAAACCCUAACACCCCAAACAAUUUUAUUUUAUUUUUCAUUUUUUGUUUUCUAACUAACUCCAAAAGGUCUGAAACAUGUUCCUAAAAAGGUGUUGGACAGUGAUUUAACCCUAAUCCCAAAACCCUAAACCGAACCGUAGCCCCGUUACGCAAUACCCGGUUCUUACUCAAAAGCCCUAACAACCCCAAACAUUUUUUUUGACAUUUCUCAUUCUUUUUGCUCUAAUUAACUCAAAAACGUCUGAAACAUGUUCCUAAAAAGGUCUUGGACAGUGAUUUUAAGCUUAACCCCAAAAACCUUAAACCUUGCCCUAGCCCCGUAACCCAAUACUUCCGUUAGUAUUACCUAAAGGAAGCCCUAACAACCCAAAACAUUUUUUUCUCAUUUUUCAUUGUUUGGUCUAACUAACUCAAAAUGGUCUGAAUCACGUUCCUAAAAAGGUCUUGGAAAGUAAUUUUAACCCUAACACCAAAAAGCUUAAACCUUAGCCUAGCCCCGUAACCCAAUACUUCCUUUAGUAUUACCUAAAGGAAGCCCUAUCAACCCAAAACAUUUUUUUUUUCAAUUUUUUUUUUUUUUUUUGGUCUAACUAACUCCAAAUUUCUGAAUCUUGCCCCUAAAAUGGUCUUGGACAGUGAUUUUAACCCUAAACCCAAAAACCUUAAAUCUUACCCUAGACCCGUGACCCAAUACCCAGGUAUUACCUAAAGGAAGCCCUAACACCCCAAACAUUUUUUUUCAUUUUUCAUUUUUUUUGGUCUAACUAACUCCAAAAGGUCUGAAACAUGUUCCUAAAAAGGUGUUGGACAGUGAUUAAACCCUAAUCCUAAAACCCUAAACCGAACCCUAGUCACAUAACCCAAUACCCAGGUAUUACCUAAGGGAAACCCUAACACCCCAAACAUUUUUUUUAAUUUUUAAUUUUUUCUUUCUAGCUAACUCCAAAAGGUCUGAAACAUCUUCCUAAAAAGGUGUUGGACAGUGAUUUAACCCUAAUCCCAAAACCCUAAACCGAACCGUAGCCCCGUUACCCAAUACCCGGUUCUUACUCAAAAGCCCUAACAACCCCAGACAUUUUUUUUGACAUUUUUCAUUCUUUUUGCUCUAAUUAACUCAAAAACGUCUGAAACAUGUUCCUAAAAAGGUCUUGGACAGUGAUUUUAGGCUUAACCCCAAAAACCUUAAACCUUACCCUAGCCCCUUAACCCAAUACUUCCGUUAGUAUUACCUAAAGGAAGCCCUAACAACCCAAAACAUUUUUUUCUCAUUUUUCAUUUUUUUGGUCUAACUAACUCAAAAAGGUCUGAAUCACGUUCCUAAAAAGGUCUUGGAAAGUAAUUUUAACCCUAACACCAAAAAGCUUAAACCUUAGCCUAGCCCCGUAACCCAAUACUUCCUUUAGUAUUACCUAAAGGAAGCCCUAACAACCCUAAACAUUUUUUUUUUCAAUUUUUGUUUUUUUUUGGUCUAACUCCAAAUUUCUGAAUCUUGUCCCUAAAAUGGUCUUGGACAAUGAUUUUAACCCUAAACCCAAAAACCUUAAAUCUUACCCUAGACCCGUGACCCGUGACCCAGGUAUUACCUAAAGGAAGCCCUAACACCCAAAACAUUUUUUUUUCAUUUUUCAUUUUUUUUGGUCUAACUAACUCCAAAAGGUCUGAAACAUGUUCCUAAAAAGGUGUUGGACAGUGAUUUAACCCUAAUCCUAAAACCCUAAACCCGAACCCUAGUCCCAUAACCCAAUACCCAGGUAUUACCUAAAGGAAACCCUAACACCCCAAACAAUUUUAUUUUAUUUUUCAUUUUUUGUUUUCUAACUAACUCCAAAAGGUCUGAAACAUGUUCCUAAAAAGGUGUUGGACAGUGAUUUAACCCUAAUCCCAAAACCCUAAACCGAACCGUAGCCCCGUUACGCAAUACCCGGUUCUUACUCAAAAGCCCUAACAACCCCAAACAUUUUUUUUGACAUUUCUCAUUCUUUUUGCUCUAAUUAACUCAAAAACGUCUGAAACAUGUUCCUAAAAAGGUCUUGGACAGUGAUUUUAAGCUUAACCCCAAAAACCUUAAACCUUGCCCUAGCCCCGUAACCCAAUACUUCCGUUAGUAUUACCUAAAGGAAGCCCUAACAACCCAAAACAUUUUUUUCUCAUUUUUCAUUGUUUUGGUCUAACUAACUCAAAAUGGUCUGAAUCACGUUCCUAAAAAGGUCUUGGAAAGUAAUUUUAACUCUAACACCAAAAAGCUUAAACCUUAGCCUAGCCCCGUAACCCAAUACUUCCUUUAGUAUUACCUAAAGGAAGCCCUAUCAACCCAAAACAUUUUUUUUUUCAAUUUUUGUUUUUUUUUUGGUCUAACUAACUCCAAAUUUCUGAAUCUUGCCCCUAAAAUGGUCUUGGACAGUGAUUUUAAACCCUAAACCCAAAAACCUUAAAUCUUACCCUAGACCCGUGACCCAAUACCCAGGUAUUACCUAAAGGAAGCCCUAACACCCCAAACAUUUUUUUUCAUUUUUCAUUUUUUUUGGUCUAACUAACUCCAAAACGUCUGAAACAUGUUCCUAAAAAGGUCUUGGACAGUGAUUAAACCCUAAUCCUAAAACCUUAAACCUUACCCUAGUCCCAUAACCCAAUACCCAGGUAUUACCUAAAGGAACCCUAACACCCCAAACAUUUUUUUCAAUUUUUAAUUUUUUUUUUUCUAGCUAACUCCAAAAGGUCUGAAACAUGUUCCUAAAAAGGUGUUGGACAGUGAUUUAACCCUAAUCCCAGAACCCUAAACCGAACCGUAGCCCCUUUACCCAAUACCUGGUUCUUACUCAAAAGCCCUAACAACCCCAAACAUUUUUUUUGACAUUUUUCAUUCUUUUUGCUCUAAUUAACUCAAAAACGUCUGAAACAUGUUCCUAAAAAGGUCUUGGACAGUGAUUUUAAGCUUAACCCCAAAAACCUUAAACCUUACCCUAGCCCCGUAACCCAAUACCCAGGUAUUACCUAAAGGAAGCCCUAACACCCCAAACUUGUUUUUUAAUUUUUAAUUUUUUUGUUUUCUAACUAACUCCAAAAGGUCUUAAACAUGUUCCUAAAAAGGUUGGACAGUGAUAUUAACCCUAAUCCCAAAACCCUACACCCAACCCUGGCCCUGUAACCCACAACCCAGGUCUUAGCUAAAGAAAGCCCUAACAACCCCAAAUUCUUUUUUUGACAUUUUUCAUUUUUUUUGGUCUAACUAACUCCAAAAGGUCUGAAACAUCUUCCUGAAAAGGUCUUGGACAGUGAUUUUAAGCUUCACCCCAAAAACCCUAAACCAUACCCUAGCCCCAUAAUCCAAUGCCUGGGUCUUACCUUGAGGAAGCCCUAACACCCCAAACAUUAUUUUUUUCAUUUUUGCUUUGUUUAUGGUCUAAUUCACUCCAAAAAGUCUGAAACAUCUUCCUAAAAAGGUCUUUGCCAGUGAUUUUAACCCUAAUCCCAAAACCCUAAACCGAACCCUAGUCACAUAACCCAAUACCCGGGUCUUACCUAAAGAAAGCCCUAACAACCCCAAAAUUUUUGAUGAUAUUUUUCAAUUUUUUUGGUCUAAUUAACUCCAAAAGGUCUGAAACAUGUUCCUAAAAAGGUCUUGGACAGUGAUUUUAAGCCUAAUCCCAAAACCCUAAACGUAACCCUAGCCCUGUAACCCAAUACCCGGGUAUUACCUAAAGGAAACCCUAACACCCCAAACAUUUUUUUUUCAUUUUUCGUUUUUUUUUUUUGUCUAACUCCAAAAGGUCCGAAAUAUGUUCCUAAAAAGGUCUUGGACAGUGAUAUUAAGGCUUAACCGAACACCCUAACCCUAACCUUAGCCUCCUAACCCAAUACCCAGGUAUUACCUAAAGAAAGCCCUAACAACCCCCAAAUUUUUUUGGGACAUUUUUCUUUUUUUUUGGUCUAAUUAACUCCAAAAGAUCUGAAACAUGUUCCUAAAAAGGUUUUGGACAGUGACUUUAACCCUAGCCCCAAAAACCUUAAACCUUUCCCUAGCCCUGUAACCUGAUACCCGGGUAUUACCUAAACGGAGGCCUAACACCCCAAACAUUUUUUUUUCUUUUUUUUUUGGUCUAAUUAACACCAAAAGGUUUGAAGCAUGUUCCUACAAAGGUCUUGGACAAUGAUUUUAACCCUAAUCCUAAAACCCUAAACGUAACCCUAGCCCUGUAACCCAAUACCCCGGUAUUAUCUACAGGAAGCCCUAACACCCCAAUUUUUUUUUUUUGACAUUUUUAAGUCUUUUUUGGUCUAACUAACUCCAAAAGGUCUGAAACAUGUUCCUAAAAAGGUGUUGGACAGUGAUUUAACCCUAAUCCCAAAACCCUAAACCUUACCCUAGUCCCAUAACCCAAUACCCAGGUAUUACCUAAAGGAAACCCUAACACCCCAAACAUUUUUUUUAAUUUUUAAUUUUUUGCUUUCUAACUAACUCCAAAAGGUCUGAAACAUGUUCCUAAAAAGGUGUUGGACAGUGAUUUAACCCUAAUCCCAAAACCCUAAACUGAACCGUAGCCCCGUUACCCAAUACCCGGUUCUUACUCAAAAGCCCUAACAACCCCAAACAUUUUUUUUGACAUUUUUCAUUCUUUUUGCUCUAAUUAACUCAAAAACGUCUGAAACAUGUUCCUAAAAAGGUCUUGGACAGUGAUUU
RNAcentral lists this long non-coding RNA (19249 nucleotides) under Xyrichtys novacula (pearly razorfish). The record is from RNAcentral. Lineage: Eukaryota; Metazoa; Chordata; Actinopteri; Labriformes; Labridae.